CAGCACCUCAAGUGGUCAGGAUGAUUAUUGGGCCUAAAGCAUCCGUAGCCGGCGCUGUAAGUUUUCGGUUAAAUAUGUACGCUCAACGUACAGGCUGCCGGGAAUACUGCAGCGCUAGGGAGUGGGAGAGGUAGACGGUACUCGGUAGGAAGGGGUAAAAUCCUUUGAUCUAUUGAUGACCACCUGUGGCGAAGGCGGUCUACCAGAACACGUCCGACGGUGAGGGAUGAAAGCUGGGGGAGCAAACCGGAUUAGAUACCCGAGUAGUCC
RNAcentral lists this ribosomal RNA (270 nucleotides) under uncultured archaeon. Its description in RNAcentral is "partial 16S ribosomal RNA". It matches the Rfam family "Archaeal small subunit ribosomal RNA", at positions 477 to 747 of the family's 1478-position model. The record is from RNAcentral.